This 253-nucleotide ribosomal RNA is filed under the name uncultured bacterium. RNAcentral's name for it is "partial 16S ribosomal RNA". It matches the Rfam family "Bacterial small subunit ribosomal RNA", at positions 524 to 776 of the family's 1533-position model. The record is from RNAcentral.
UACGUAGGUGGCAAGCGUUGUCCGGAUUUAUUGGGCGUAAAGCGCGCGCAGGCGGUCUUUUAAGUCUGAUGUGAAAUCUCGUGGCUCAACCACGAGCGGUCAUUGGAAACUGGGAGACUUGAGUACAGAAGAGGAGAGUGGAAUUCCACGUGUAGCGGUGAAAUGCGUAGAUAUGUGGAGGAACACCAGUGGCGAAGGCGACUCUCUGGUCUGUAACUGACGCUGAGGCGCGAAAGCGUGGGGAGCGAACAGG